RNAcentral lists this ribosomal RNA (253 nucleotides) under uncultured bacterium. RNAcentral describes it as "partial 16S ribosomal RNA". It matches the Rfam family "Bacterial small subunit ribosomal RNA", at positions 524 to 776 of the family's 1533-position model. The record is from RNAcentral.
UACAGAGGGCGCGAGCGUUAUUCGGAAUUACUGGGCGUAAAGCGCACGUAGGCGGCUUGGUAUGUCGGGUGUGAAAUCCCCGGGCUCAACCUGGGAACUGCAUCCGAAACUGCCUUGCUCGAGUAUGGGAGAGGGAAGUGGAAUUUCCGGUGUAGCGGUGAAAUGCGUAGAUAUCGGAAGGAACAUCAGUGGCGAAGGCGACUUCCUGGACCAAUACGGACGCUCAGGCGCGAAAGCGUGGGGAGCAAACAGG